Molecule: ribosomal RNA, 709 nt
Filed under: uncultured bacterium
Lineage: Bacteria
Description: bacterial SSU rRNA
Rfam family: Bacterial small subunit ribosomal RNA
Source: RNAcentral
CCCUUAGAGUUUGAUCCUGGCUCAGAUUGAACGCUGGCGGCAUGCUUUACACAUGCAAGUCGAACGGUAACAGGCCUUCGGGUGCUGACGAGUGGUGAACGGGUGAGUAAUGCAUCGGAACGUGCCCAGAGGUGGGGGAUAACGCAGCGAAAGCUGUGCUAAUACCGCAUGUGAUCUGAGGAUGAAAGCGGGGGACCAAGCAGCAAUGUUUGGCCUCGCGCCUCUGGAGCGGCCGAUGUCAGAUUAGGUAGUUGGUGGGAUAAAGGCCUACCAAGCCGACGAUCUGUAGCUGGUCUGAGAGGACGACCAGCCACACUGGGACUGAGACACGGCCCAGACUCCUACGGGAGGCAGCAGUGGGGAAUUUUGGACAAUGGGCGCAAGCCUGAUCCAGCAAUGCCGCGUGCGGGAAGAAGGCCUUCGGGUUGUAAACCGCUUUUGUACGGAACGAAAAGGCUCUGGCUAAUACCUGGGGCUGAUGACGGUACCGUAAGAAUAAGCACCGGCUAACUACGUGCCAGCAACCGCGGUAAUACGUAGGGUGCGAGCGCUAAUCGGUAUUACUGGGCGUAAAGCGUGCGCAAGCGGUCUUGUAGGACAGAGGUGAAAUCCCUGGGCUCACCCUAGGAUGGCCUUUGUGACUGCAGGCUGGAGUGCGGCAGAAGGGGAUGGAAUUCCUCGUGCACACUGAAAUGCGUAGAUAUGCUGA